AAGAAAGGUAACUUCGAGUUCACAAAUUUGUCUAAGACCUUGGCCUCCAAAAAUACAACAGGAACUUUGCAAGUUCUAUUUUGCUUUGUGGCAAGUGACAAAGACAAUUUAUCAAAAAAUUUCAUCUUAGUACCCAAAACAUGAAUAAUUUUAAACCUUGGAUAUUUGAGGUCAGCUGCUCAAAUGCUACAAUAUGCUUUGUCUCAAAGCCAAUAACAAUAACAACAAUAACUAAGCUUUAAUCUUAAACUAAUUAGAA
This 259-nucleotide unclassified non-coding RNA is filed under the name Hevea brasiliensis (rubber tree). Lineage: Eukaryota; Viridiplantae; Streptophyta; Magnoliopsida; Malpighiales; Euphorbiaceae. The record is from RNAcentral.